RNAcentral lists this transfer RNA (65 nucleotides) under Dipodomys ordii (Ord's kangaroo rat). It matches the Rfam family "tRNA". Rfam says of the family: Transfer RNA (tRNA) molecules are approximately 80 nucleotides in length. Their secondary structure includes four short double-helical elements and three loops (D, anti-codon, and T loops). Further hydrogen bonds mediate the characteristic L-shaped molecular structure. tRNAs have two regions of fundamental functional importance: the anti-codon, which is responsible for specific mRNA codon recognition, and the 3' end, to which the tRNAs corresponding amino acid is attached (by aminoacyl-tRNA synthetases). tRNAs cope with the degeneracy of the genetic code in two manners: having more than one tRNA (with a specific anti-codon) for a particular amino acid; and 'wobble' base-pairing, i.e. permitting non-standard base-pairing at the 3rd anti-codon position. The record is from Rfam by way of RNAcentral. Lineage: Eukaryota; Metazoa; Chordata; Mammalia; Rodentia; Heteromyidae.
GGUGGCUCAGUGGUAGAGCGCUUGCCUCACACGCCUGAGGCCCUGGGUUCGAUUCCUCAGCACCA